AUUGAACGCUGGCGGCAUGCCUUACACAUGCAAGUCGAACGCCAAAGGGCGGGGGUAACCCUGCACGAGUAGCGGGCGGCACGGGUGAGUAACACAUCGGAACGUAUCCACGAGUGGGGACGAACCAGUCGAAAGAUUGGCUAAUACCGCAUACGCUGGAGAUCAGGAAAGCGGGGGACCCGUCGAAAGGGGCCGUCGCGCUCGCGGCGCGGCCGAUGUCCGAUUAGCUAGUUGGUGCGGGUAAGAGCCCACCAAGGCGACGAUCGGUAGCGGUCUGAGAGGAUGAUCCGCCACACUGGGACUGAGACACGGCCCAGACUCCUACGGGAGGCAGCAGUGGGGAAUUUUGGACAAUGGGGGCAACCCUGAUCCAGCCAUGCCGCGUGAGUGAAG
RNAcentral lists this ribosomal RNA (393 nucleotides) under uncultured bacterium. RNAcentral's name for it is "bacterial SSU rRNA". It matches the Rfam family "Bacterial small subunit ribosomal RNA", at positions 29 to 410 of the family's 1533-position model. The record is from RNAcentral.